RNAcentral lists this ribosomal RNA (432 nucleotides) under Salmonella enterica subsp. enterica serovar Typhimurium. RNAcentral describes it as "partial 23S ribosomal RNA". It matches the Rfam family "Bacterial large subunit ribosomal RNA", at positions 137 to 607 of the family's 2925-position model. Lineage: Bacteria; Pseudomonadati; Pseudomonadota; Gammaproteobacteria; Enterobacterales; Enterobacteriaceae. The record is from RNAcentral.
GAUUCGUCACACUAUCAUUAACUGAAUCCAUAGGUUAAUGAGGCGAACCGGGGGAACUGAAACAUCUAAGUACCCCGAGGAAAAGAAAUCAACCGAGAUUCCCCCAGUAGCGGCGAGCGAACGGGGAGGAGCCCAGAGCCUGAAUCAGCAUGUGUGUUAGUGGAAGCGUCUGGAAAGGCGCGCGAUACAGGGUGACAGCCCCGUACACAAAAGCGCAUGUGCUGUGAGCUCGAUGAGUAGGGCGGGACACGUGGUAUCCUGUCUGAAUAUGGGGGGACCAUCCUCCAAGGCUAAAUACUCCUGACUGACCGAUAGUGAACCAGUACCGUGAGGGAAAGGCGAAAAGAACCCCGGCGAGGGGAGUGAAAAAGAACCUGAAACCGUGUACGUACAAGCAGUGGGAGCACCCUUCGGGGUGUGACUGCGUACCUU